ACUCGGCGGUGCACGGGGAGUAAGAAGCGCCGGCCGGCUGCGUGCUGCCGGGAUCCCUCCGCCCAGGGCUGCCCUUUAAAUGUGAGGCAUCCCGUUGCAGGCGCUGCUCGUUCCGGCGCUUUAAGGGCGAGUGGUCUCGUGUCCGCCCCUCUACGGUGCCUCAGCCUGUUCAGUGCCUGCAUGGAGUGGGUGGGUGCUGCAUAGCGUGGGAUCAGGCGAUGCCAUCUCUGGUCCCAGUGGCAUGAAGGGAUCACUGCAGUUCGGCUGUGCAUGGAGCCUUAAGCACCCGAUGCUGCACCUCCCGGAGGAGCCAUGAGAUACUUGUGCCACUGCCAACAACGCGUGAUUGCUUUCAACUGGUGUCACAGAUCAGUUUGUACCGGUGGUUACAAACUUGAAGUUAAACAUCACAAAUGCAUGUGAAAAUGAAUGAAAUUAAAGACCAUUUUCUAUCAAAAUCUUCAUAAUUUAUUAAAAAAUAUACAUUUUCUCAGUAACAGAUGGUCAAUAAUAGAUGAUAGAUGGCCUCCUCUGUGUAAAUUAAUGGCUGUAAUUCACUUGAGGGCUGCUGCUGAUGUCAUAAGCUGCCAGAGUGCAGCUUGAGUGAUUUAUUAACAGCUGCAGAAAUCCUAGAGUGAAUUACAUCCUUGUAUUCACUUAGGGUCUGCAGAUUGUUAUUUAUAAGAUAUGGAGGUUUGUGUUUCUUCUGUAUUAUAGGAAUCUUUUGUAUGAUUGUAAUGCAUGGGCAUGGUGCAGGACUGACUAGUGUGGAAGUUCAGCUCCCUGUCUGCAGCAAAGGCAGUCAGGUUUUCUCUACUAACACUUAUCAGCAUCAACCCUUUAUUUUUAGAAGAAGCUAAUCAACAUUGGCAGAUGUGUUCAUUUAAGUCCUGCUUUGUGGGUUUUUCCCCCCCCCUGAUGUCAAAUACAAAUAAUGUCCUUCUUUCCCAGGAACCCCUUGUUCACUCAGUGUUUGUAGUCACUGCCCCUCUUCACAAUGAGCUAUGUCCAAACCAAAAAAAUAGUUGAGAUGUUGAUGCUAGAGAGGAGUAAGUGCGAUCUCUAUUAAUAUCUGGAUGUGUAGGAAGAAGGCAACAGAUCCAGAAGGCUAGCAAGGGUGUCUGGAAACCAAAAUCUCUCACAUACAAAGAAGAGAUUGUCCCAUCUCCUAAUGCUACCUCUAUGUAGGGAGAAAACCUUACCUUUCUUCCAUGAAAUUCCUGCUCAGUAAAAGAGAAUGCUUUCUCUGUGGCAGGCCUUCAAAUAUAUUUAUCUUACACAUCAGCCCACCUUAACAUCUCAGACUCAUUCUUCCCAGACUGAAAUUCUCUCUGCAAUGAUCCAUACUUCCCAGAUUUAUCUCAUUCUUCUAAAAUGUGAACAUAUGAAAGCAAAUUAAAUAAUAUUCAUUUCUAUAGCCUUCCCAUUCUGCCAAAAAGUGGGAGUAGGUGUUAUAAAAUCCUGUUUCCCAAACAAGGGACGUGUUUCCAACAAGUAAUGUAAGUCCUAAAGGAAGAAUGAAGGGGAAAUGAGAAUAAAUAAUGAAGAGUUGCAUGGCAGGAAGGAACAGUCAGAAUUCAUCUGCAAAUACUGUUAUUUUUUUGCUGAAGAUGUAAAAUUUCUCAACAGAAUUUAACAGUGAGUGUUUAGAUGCUAGUUAGAUUCCAGUGGGAAUAUUUCCAGCUUUGUCUCUUCUCUCAGUUUUGUUUGCCUAUGGUUAGAUCUUGCUGGUCAUUAGGAGAAGGCUGCAUUUAUUGUUGUCAGCAAGAAAUACUGCUUUGCUACCAAACAACUGCUUUUUUACUUCUGCUUUCCUUCACCAGCCUCCGUCUAUAUGAGUGACCUGUCUCUAAGAGGUACAAAUGAUUUUUUUUUCCAGAGAAAACAAUUUGAAUAAAAACAGGCUCUAGAAAUUAUUCAGUGCCUUGAGGCAGAGUCCUUUGAAGCCAUUAUGAAUUCACUAAUUUCAGCAAGCCUAUUAUUGCUAUUAUAGCACCAUGGACAAAGCCCAGUCACUUCGAGAUCCCACUAUGUUAGAUAUUGCAUGAAUGUACAGAAUGGUAUCAAGAAACAGGAAAAAUGUCUUUUUUCUGCUUUCUGGAGUGGAAUGCUGCCCUCCUGAUUCUUUUGAAAUUGCCUACAGAUUUGUAGUAGUCAAACUUUGUAUAUCCAAAAGC
Molecule: long non-coding RNA, 2177 nt
Organism: Centrocercus urophasianus (Greater sage-grouse)
Lineage: Eukaryota; Metazoa; Chordata; Aves; Galliformes; Phasianidae
Exons: 3
Source: RefSeq, a predicted model, not a curated record